RNAcentral lists this ribosomal RNA (119 nucleotides) under Phaseolus vulgaris (common bean). The record is from RNAcentral. Lineage: Eukaryota; Viridiplantae; Streptophyta; Magnoliopsida; Fabales; Fabaceae.
AGGUGCGAUCAUACCAGCACUAAUGCACCGGAUCCCAUCAGAACUUCGUAGUGAAGCGUGCCUGAGCGAGAGUAGUACUAGGAUGGGUGACCUCCUGGGAAGUCCUCGUGUUGCACUUC